CUGGAAGAAUCUGGAGACAGGUGCUGCAUGGCUGUCGUCAGCUCGUGUCGUGAGAUGUUGGGUUAAGUCCCGCAACGAGCGCAACCCUUGCCUUUAGUUGCCAGCAGUUCGGCUGGGCACUCUAAAGGGACUGCCGGUGUUAAACCGGAGGAACGGUGGGGAUGGACGUCAAGUCCUCAUGGCCUUUAUGACCAGGGCUACACACGUACUACAAUGGCCGAUACAAAGGGCAGCGACACUGCGAGGUGAAGCCAAUCCCGUAAAAUACGGUCUCAGUCCGGAUUGGAGUCUGCAACUCGACUCCAUGAAGUUGGAAUCGCUAGUAAUCGUGGAUCAGCAUGCCACGGUGAAUACGUUCCCGGGCCUU
Molecule: ribosomal RNA, 367 nt
Filed under: uncultured Desulfobulbus sp.
Lineage: Bacteria; Pseudomonadati; Thermodesulfobacteriota; Desulfobulbia; Desulfobulbales; Desulfobulbaceae
Description: bacterial SSU rRNA
Rfam family: Bacterial small subunit ribosomal RNA
Source: RNAcentral